This 421-nucleotide ribosomal RNA is filed under the name uncultured bacterium. Its description in RNAcentral is "bacterial SSU rRNA". It matches the Rfam family "Bacterial small subunit ribosomal RNA", at positions 358 to 795 of the family's 1533-position model. The record is from RNAcentral.
GGAAUUUUCCGCAAUGGGCGAAAGCCUGACGCAGCAAUGCCGCGUGAGUGAAGAAGGCCCUCGGGUCGUAAAGCUCUUUAUCUUCGGGAAGAUGAUGACGGUACCGAAGGAAGAAGCACCGGCUAACUACGUGCCAGCAGCCGCGGUAAUACGUAGGGUGCAAGCGUUGUUCGGAAUCACUGGGCGUAAAGGGCGUGUAGGCGGAACGAUUAGCGAGGGGUGAAAUCCCGGGGCUCAACCCCGGAACUGCUCUUCGAACUGUCGAUCUAGAGAAGGUCAGGGGCCGGCGGAAUUCCUGGUGUAGAGGUGAAAUUCGUAGAGAUCAGGAGGAACAUCGGAGGCGAAGGCGGCCGGCUGGGGCCAUUCUGACGCUGAGGCGCGAAAGCGUGGGGAGCAAACAGGAUUAGAUACCCCUGUAGUC